This is a long non-coding RNA of Seriola aureovittata, 2292 nucleotides long. RefSeq lists it as uncharacterized. The record is from RefSeq and is a predicted model, not a curated record. NCBI's taxonomy places the organism in Eukaryota, Metazoa, Chordata, Actinopteri, Carangiformes, Carangidae. The transcript has 6 exons.
UCACUCAUUAGCAUUCCACAGCCAUGGACUAAACGCUGACAACUAACAGAGAUAUCCAGCUCUACACCACUGCAUGCAUUUUCCCCCCUUUGUCUUCUUCCCCUGGCCCUUCAUUUCCAGCGGACAGAUCUCUCGUCACAGCCAACACAUUUUUAUUUAUGCCUUCUCCACUCUUGUUGCACGAAUGGACCCCGUGCACAAGAGAGAAAACCUUCCAGUAAAGCAGAGGAGAAAAAAAAGGGAGGUGGGGGGGUGAUGUUGUAAAAGCUGUGCAGAAGUGACAGCGCUAAGCACACUGGCUUUACUUGGGAGAGAUACAAUUGUGUGUGACUUGACAAAAUAGAAGUGGGAGACGUUUUAAAUUGCAACUUUAACUGCUAUUAUUUAGAGAUUUGAAGAUAAGAAAAAAAAAAUCUACAGCCUGUGUGCUUCAUUAUGAGAAGGUAAAUGAUGAUCAUUUUAUUCCCAACUCAAUAGUAGAUCAAUAUUUUUUUUCCACUUAGUUAGGACAUUUGGCUCCAUUUAGCGUCACAAUUGCAGAAAAUGUUUGCUUUUAAAGAGUUCAUCCAAUAGUUCUGAAUUAAAGCUGUCAUUCACGGCUUCACUAUAAACUGUAGAAUAAAAUAAACAUACAGACUCAAUCAUGAUGCAAGAGCAGAAACAGUCAAAUAAAUAAAUAAACAGAUAAAUAAAUAAAAUAAGAUACAAAUCCAAAAUCUCUGAACUUGUGAAAUUAAAGCUGUGUUUUUGUAUUAGUCUACAAUUGAUUUACAUUUGGAAUAUUUUAGAAACUGGACAUAUUUUCGGAUGAAUAAAUUGAAAACUGGAAAGAUUUGAAUGAGUGAUACAGCGACUUCCAUUGACAUUACUUGGACAAGCUCCUUUUUUUCAGAUGACUAUAUCUUAAUAUGCGCUCAAGUCUUGCCCAACAAUGACAGCUGUUCAUCUGAUAGUAACUUCUUUCCAAGUUUUCUCCCCUCCCACCCCGGGGCCCCCGGUCUCUGUCUUGCUUUGUUGUUUUAAAAUAUGCAUGUCUCUCCGGAAUGCCAGUCACGGGUCCAAACUUUGUGUGUCCCAACCUCCCACAUGAUGAAAUGAUCCUUUUAAAGCGGGCUCAAUAUGUCUCAAUCUGCACUCCUCUUCCCUCUCUAAAGCUUCUGGGUUCGGGACACAGCCCAGAAAUAUAUUAAUUAAAGCGCACGAGCAUAUUACUACAGACUUUUUUAGCACAGGGGAAGAAACGGUUGGAUCAAGUGAAGAUGGAUGAAGAUUCACGGCAGGAAAAGAAAAAAAAACUCGUGUGCUGAAGAGAUGACUUCUGUGGUCCGCUGAAGUGGAUGAAAUCUUUCAAUCUGCCUCCCAAAUCCUAUAGUAAACUUGGUCCUGGGCUCCCACCGUGGCCCAGACGGGGGUAAUUUGAUAGCAAGGCAAGGUCAAGACAGUGCGCUGUCCAUGGUGCUGCGGCGGGGCAGCCUGGAUGUUAUCAUCAAAUUAGACAGGACAAGUUUCAAAUCGAUGCCACCCCCGGAUGUCUGGAGACCGCCAGCAGUCGGAGUUAAAGUCCUAACAAGUCCCCCCUGACAGAAGCGAUCAAUGGUGCAGCGCUCUCUCGUUCACCCUGAACUGGCGGUGAACUCCUGCGGAACGCCGCCAGCCUCUCCACCCUAUCCCAUCACAGUUCGGGGUCACCAGGGGGGCGUCUCUGUGCCAAUAUGCAGAUGAGACUGUGCCCCUCCAAUGACUCUGGUGGGUCUGUGGUGCGAGCCGUGCUCUGUGCUCAGGUCAUGGCACAGUUUCAGUCCAGCGCCUAACCCCUGCCCUGUGUUUGACCACUCUACGUGUGUUGUCUGAGCCUGGCGAAGCUGCCUCAUUAUGUGACAGGCAGAGGAGAGUAUUUGAUCCUGGAUAUUUAGCCUCCUCCUCUCUGUCACAGCCACUGGAGCCCUCUCAAGGUGACUCAGCGGGGGCGUGGUCUGGACAGCAGCUCAUCACCACACCUACAAUCUAUCACUCAUCAUAUGCAGUAUAUCAACACCGAUCAUGCAUCCAUUCGUUGCCAGAUUGUUCCGCUCUUCACGGCGAAGACUUCCUGAUUUGUGUGCUGCUGAUCCUGCCACACUCCGCUGUCGUCAUACCACACAAUACCACCUGCCUUUGGUCUGCAGUCAUCCCACGUGUUUCCAGAGUGUGUUCACUAACCUGCAUCUGGUCCCUAGUGUCCUCCUUACUCCUGCCUUGUGUAAUCACCAGACACCUGGAUUCCCCUGACCAAUAAAGUCCCUUACACUAUUA